AAWUWUUUWGGCAGAAUUAAUGCAUCGAAUUUAGAAUUCGAAUAUAUAUUUUAAAUUAAUAUAAAUAAUUA
This 71-nucleotide transfer RNA is filed under the name Potamyia flava. Its description in RNAcentral is "tRNA-Leu". The record is from RNAcentral. Lineage: Eukaryota; Metazoa; Arthropoda; Insecta; Trichoptera; Hydropsychidae.